RNAcentral lists this ribosomal RNA (392 nucleotides) under uncultured bacterium. RNAcentral describes it as "partial 16S ribosomal RNA". It matches the Rfam family "Bacterial small subunit ribosomal RNA", at positions 523 to 918 of the family's 1533-position model. The record is from RNAcentral.
AUACGGAGGAUCCGAGCGUUAUCCGGAUUUAUUGGGUUUAAAGGGUGCGCAGGCGGCCAUUUAAGUCAGCGGUUAAAUCGUGGGGCUCAACCCCAUUCUGCCGUUGAUACUGGGUGGCUUGAUUGCGGUCGAGGUUGGCGGAAUUCGUUGUGUAGCGGUGAAAUGCAUAGAUAUGACGAAGAACACCGAUUGCGUAGGCAGCUGACCAGAUCGCAAAUGACGCUCAUGCACGAAAGUGCGGGGAUCGAACAGGAUUAGAUACCCUGGUAGUCCGCACAGUAAAUGAUGAAUACUUGUUUUCGGCGAUAUAAUGUCGGAGGCAAAGCGAAAGCGAUAAGUAUUCCACCUGGGGAGUACGCCGGCAACGGUGAAACUCAAAGGAAUUGGCGGGG